This is a non-coding RNA of Tachyglossus aculeatus (Australian echidna), 557 nucleotides long. The record is from the annotation of a RefSeq genome assembly. NCBI's taxonomy places the organism in Eukaryota, Metazoa, Chordata, Mammalia, Monotremata, Tachyglossidae.
UCCUCACCAGAGCCCUGAACACUGCAGGCGGAGACAUGCUGGGUUUUAUCACCCUCCUUCUCACCACCCUGCUCCCUACUGUCCAGACUGCACUCAUUCUGGACCAGCCCAUGCUCUCCAUCACCCAAAAGGCUGGAACUUCUGCAACAUUUCCCUGUGAGCUUUCUGACAGAAGCUUCAGGUACAUCCACUGGUAUCGUCAGCAGCCUGGGAAAGCUCCCCAGCGCCUUCUAUACUGUAACAUGGACACGUCUGCAGUCACCCUGGAAUCAGGAUUCAACAUAAACAAAAUCCACGCUUACAAGUCAAGUGAUCAAAGCUGCUACCUGUUGGUCCAGAAACUGGACAGGAAUGACGCCGGCUUCUAUUACUGUGCCAGCUGGGUCUCCACGGUGACACAGUCUCCUCCGCCCCUCGUACAAAAAGUCACUGUCCUUAGUCACGAGGAACAGGGUCUGAAUCCCCACAGCUCCAGCAUUGAAUCUCACCUCCUUUUUCAGGCUCCCUGGCAAACUAAUGGUGGCCACCACAUGUCCAAACUGCAGCUCUUUCUCUGA